CCCCACAUCCAAACAAGUAAAUUAAUAUUCUCUCUCUUUCAUAUAACAUUUAGAUAAAGUAACAUAAUAUCUGAGAUUUCUUUGCAAAUUUUCUGGCAGAGAGGGAAGAAAUGGAGAAGAGGAUAUUGGCUGAAAUUAAGUUAUAGGAUUAUUAUGAAGUCUUCCUAUAUUUUUGAAAUUUCCCAUAUUUUAAAAAAGGCAUUAUUUCCCAAAGGCCUUGAGUUUCAUGAAGAGAGUAAUUUUAUUAUGGCAAUUUUCCUCAAAGCAUAAAGAAACCAAUAAAAAAAAUACCAAAAGCAAAGAGUGCCCUAUACUUUGAUAUUACUUAAGUUUCCUAUUUUUGUUCCAAAAAAGCCAAUAAAAUUAGCUUCGGCAAAGAUGCAGAAGGGUGUUUCAGUGAUUGAGAUGUGCUGUGGAUGUCCACCAUGCUGAACUUCCUUUCAAGGCAUUUUGCAAACCGCAAGUCCAACACAAUCAUUAGUUUCAUAUUACAACUUAGCUGUAUUCAUCAACAUUCUAACUUCCAAAGUAUUAAAGAAGCACCUCCUACAUAACAAGGCCCCAGUGCUUCUCCUCUCUCCAGUGAAUACCAACACGGAGUUAGGAGACUGCCCCAUGUGAGGGAGGACAUGACUUCCAAAGGCUCUACAUCAAGGCAUGUGUCAUUCACACUCAUCCAGGAGCAGGUACUGUCAUCUUCCUUCCUGCUAAGAAGUUGCAAAAGCAGUGAAGAGACUGAGUCAGGCUGAACUCCAUAAGGGUGAAUAUCAAUGACAAUGGCCAGCGCCUCCCACCUUCAGUCUCUGGCAAGUUUUGAUAUAAUUAAGAGGUUGAGAUGUAGACAAGCUUAACCAUCCUGUGGCUGGGCACUCUAUCUUCCUAAGAGCAACACAUGUCAGCAGCCAAAGAGACAAUGAAAAAGAGUUUCCCUGAAUAGUUUAAAAUAGUGAAGUUAAUUAGCCAUCAAAUUAGUAAGCAGGGUGUUCCCAAUAAGAAAUGAAAGAAAUAAAAAUGUAUGCUUCGAAAAUGUACUAGAAAAAUAGAAACAUAGCAUUCAUUAUGAAUACUUGCAUAUAAUGGCACAAUAUAGGUCAAAAAACAAUGGUGAGUAGACAAGGCAAAUGGCGAAUGAAAAUCCACUGCACAGCACAGUUCCCAAGAAAUGCCAAGAAGACAAUGACACAGCAUCCGUUUGUCUUUAUAAUGAUAAAAAUGUAUACUAGAGGUGAGUCUUUAAUUUGGAUGAGAGAAUGAAUGCUGAUUUUAGGAAGGGGGAAAAAUAGGAAAUGGGUGUUUUAUCUGUAUCUACAAUAUUUUGUUAUUUUAAAGAUUUCAAGAAAAGAUAAAUUUUUUAGUUUUUAUUGACUGUAUGUUGGAAUUAUCACGGUGCCUCAGCAUUUUCUCUGUUUGCAUAUGGGAAUUAUGUUUUCAUUUAAAAAGUAUAAUGAAUGAAUAGUAGAGUCAAAGAGACUUGUAAAAGAAUUUUCACUGAAUAGUGUUCCCUUAAGAAAACAGGGCAUCUGGGUGACUCAUAAACUCAGUAAGAAAGGAAGAGAUAACAGGUGAGAAAAACUAUCCAUGGGAUGAUUUCUUCAGGUUACACAGCUAACAACUGACAAGAGUCCAGCCUCAGCCAGCUCCUUUCCAAAGCUACCACAAUGUUUACUAGAGUACUUGCAGACUUAUGGCCCAAGUUGAGACAACCUGCUUCAGAUCAGACCUUUUGGGCAAAAUUAUUAUUCAAUAUAGCUCUCAAUCCAAAAUAUCACUAUUAUACAGUUCAUUUCCAUGAAAUCCCAGUAAAAGCAACUUUCCAGAAGGGGGAAACACCUAGGCAGUUAUUAGCAUGAACGCUUUCCCUUUUUUGGAUUACUUUGCGGUAUUCUAGAGAGAAGGUUUUAAUGAAUAUGCAGCCCUGACAGAGAGUUCCUGUCUUGUCAUACAUAGAUUGUCAUGUCAAUUCUCAAUCUUAGACAUCCAUCUUCAGAACAUCCAGAAUGGUUCUCACUUUAUUAAAGCUUAGGCAAUUUCUGACAUUCUUUAAACCUAUUCCAGGAGGUCAGAGAAAGACACGAACUGAUGCUUUGGUGACCUUUGAAUUAUUCAUAAAAGCUUCCACAAGCAUACAUUUCACUACAUGACAACUGUGAACUCAUUCAUCAAUGUUCCAGAAUAAAUACCUUCUAAGUAAGACCUACCCAAGCAUCAGCCCUGCAAUCUCCUUCUACUAGGCAAGUCCAUGAGGAUGAAGGAAUCAGAGCUAGAUGGAUCACAAGAAAAAGCAAAUUUGCAAUAUAAAUUUAAAUGCAAAUGCAAAAAGUAAAUUUAAAAUAAUCCCCUCUACCCCACUUCUGUGGAGUAAUUUCAUAGUUAUCUGUCUCGUAUUUAUUUAAACUAUUCUUCUAUAUCCAGAAAGAAAAUAACAAAAAUAAGAUAAAAACAAAUAAAACAUUUUGUCUCUAUUUUCCUUUCAGACCCAAAGCCUAGGAACCAAAAUCUCCCUCACAUUAACUAAAAACUAUUGCUUUUAUUUUUAUGUUGCUAAUUGAUUAAUUCAUUCAUGGAGCAAAUAUCUGACUGAUUACUCUGUGGCAGGCUCUGUUCAGGGUUCUUUGCUAUAUCAUUUAAUAAUAUAAAAAUCUGUACUCAGGGGAGCUAACAUUCCAGCUGUAAUAAGCAAAGAAAGUCAUUUGAUGGGAAGUAAGAAGACAGACAGUUGUACAUGCAGUCUGCUGAUGAGAGCCUCCACACAGCCAGAGCCACAGAAUGAUUGGUCUUGGUGUUAUUUAACAACAUUUAGCAUCUAUCUCCAUGAUUCAAUUAAAAUUACCAUUAGGAAGAUGUUAUUACUUUCUUCCUAACUGACAAAUCCAAGCAAGCUUUUCUUCCUCUUGAUGUCUAUCACCAUGUCAAGGAAGCUUAUGAUCCUGAUUUUCUAACCCCACUUUUGAGGAGGCAUGAACUGUUUAACCUUGCUCCAGUGGGCUCUGGCUAUAAAGAUAGAUUGUAUCCUCUGUCAGCUGCUUUUCAUAUCUCUUUUGUGUGGAUUAAACUCCCAGUGCUAUUAGACAAAUUGUCCAGGACCUACCAUGGUGACUGUUCCACUUAAGUUUCUGUUUCUGUUAUAAACACCAUCGGAAAAGCAAUUUAUAAAGGAAAGUGUUUAUUUUAUCUUACAGUUUGCAGUCCAUCAUGAAGGAAGCCAGAGCAGGAACUCAAGACAGGAAUCCAGAGGCAGAAACUGAAGCAAAGACCAUAGAAGCUCACUGGCUUGCUCUCCAUGACUCCAGAAGAGGAUAUUGGAUUCCCUAGACCUGGAGGUCCAAGCCUGGAGGUCCAGCCCUAACCUGGGUGCUGGGAACAGAACUCGGGUCUUCUAAGAACAGCAAGUACUGUUAACUGCUGAGUCAUCUGUUAAACUCCUAGAAUAAGUUUCUUAAAAACAGGCAACACAAUGAGCAAAAGGCAGUACACAAAAGUCGACCUGUCAAGAAAUGGUUUACUUCAGUGAUGGACCAGCACUGCAGGAGACUCAUUCCACUUCCACCAAGACAGCCCUUUGUACAACAAGAAGAAACCAUUAAGGGCUUAAUGGCACUGUGGUGAUGCAUUAGAUGCUGAAAGAGAAACAGGGAUAUUCUGUUUGCCCAGUUGCCAGUUUCUAUCACAACUACCACGACUCACCAUCUGCAUGAUUCCUCAAGUACUUGACAAAGGAGUUUUUCUAACUUUAGCCCUGCCUACUCAGCCUUUAUUUAUUUAUUUCAAGACAUUGACAAAUCUAGCUGUUGUGAAAACCUGUCCUUUAGGCAUGCCAUAGUGAUACUGUCUUGCCACCGUGAUGUCAGAGAGGCUUAGAUUACCCAUCCACAGAGACUCGAACAAUGUCACAAAAUCAGGUCUGUUGAUGUUUUCCUGAAAGAGAUCUGAGAUGGCUCAUGAGGCAUAAGAGGUCCCUCACUUCCCUAAGGAUAUAUAAGCCAGAUGACAAUUGCUAAAGAGGGGCAGUCUUCUUUGGCCCUGUAGCUACCUAUAAGUGUCCAUGCACCUAUAAAUAACCCAAUUAAAUUCUUUGCCUUACCAAGCUAGA
This is a non-coding RNA of Cricetulus griseus (Chinese hamster), 4090 nucleotides long. NCBI's taxonomy places the organism in Eukaryota, Metazoa, Chordata, Mammalia, Rodentia, Cricetidae. The record is from RefSeq and is a predicted model, not a curated record.